RNAcentral lists this ribosomal RNA (497 nucleotides) under uncultured bacterium. RNAcentral's name for it is "partial 16S ribosomal RNA". It matches the Rfam family "Bacterial small subunit ribosomal RNA", at positions 28 to 507 of the family's 1533-position model. The record is from RNAcentral.
GAUGAACGCUGGCGGCGUGCCUAAUACAUGCAAGUCGAGCGAACGGACGAGAAGCUUGCUUCUCUGAUGUUAGAGGCGGACGGGUGAGUAACUCGUCGAUAACCUACCUCUAAGACUGGGAUAACUUCGGGAAACCGGAGCUAAUACCGGAUAAUAUUUUGAACCGCAUGGUUCAAACGUGAAAGACGGUCUUGCUGUCACUUAUAGAUGGAUCCGCGCUGCAUUAGCUAGUUGGUAAGGUAACGGCUUACCAAGGCAACGAUGCAUAGCCGACCUGAGAGGGUGAUCGACCACACUGGAACUGAGACACGGUCCAGACUCCUACGGGAGGCAGCAGUAGGGAAUCUUCCGCGAUGGGCGAAAGCCUGACGGUGCAACGCCGCGUGAGUGAUGAAGGUCUUCGGAUCGGAAAACUCUGUUAUUAGGGAAGAACAUAUGUGUAAGUAACUGUGCACAUCUUGACGGUACCUAAUCAGAAAGCCACGGCUAACUACGUG